This 513-nucleotide ribosomal RNA is filed under the name uncultured bacterium. RNAcentral's name for it is "partial 16S ribosomal RNA". It matches the Rfam family "Bacterial small subunit ribosomal RNA", at positions 28 to 523 of the family's 1533-position model. The record is from RNAcentral.
GACGAACGCUGGCGGCGUGCCUAAUACAUGCAAGUCGAGCGAAUCUUCUGGGAGCUUGCUCCCUUAAGAUUAGCGGCGGACGGGUGAGUAACACGUGGGUAACCUGCCUGUAAGACUGGGAUAACUUCGGGAAACCGGAGCUAAUACCGGAUAGGUUCUUUUCUCGCAUGAGGGAAGAUGGAAAGAUGGUUCUGCUAUCACUUACAGAUGGACCCGCGGCGCAUUAGCUAGUUGGUGAGGUAACGGCUCACCAAGGCGACGGUGCGUAGCCGACAUGAGAGGGUGAUCGGCGACACUGGGACUGGGACACGGCCCAGACUCCUACGGGAGGCAGCAGUAGGGAAGCUUCCGCAAUGGACGAAAGUCUGACGGAGCAACGCCGCGUGAGCGAAGAAGGCCUUCGGGUCGUAAAGCUCUGUUGUUAGGGAAGAACAAGUACGAGAGUAACUGCUCGUACCUUGACGGUACCUAACCAGAAAGCCACGGCUAACUACGUGCCAGCAGCCGCGGUAA